AGCUGGGGCGCCCACGAGAGGAUCCCUCACCCGGGUCUCUCCUCAGGGAUGACAUCAUCCGUCCACCUCCUUGUCUUCAAGGACCACCUCCUCUCCAUGCUGAGCUGCUGCCAAGGGGCCUGCUGCCCAUCUACACCUCACGAGGGCACUAGGAGCACGGUUUCCUGGAUCCCACCAACAUACAAAGCAGCCACUCACUGACCCCCAGGACCAGGAUGGCAAAGGAUGAAGAGGACCGGAACUGACCAGCCAGCUGUCCCUCUUACCUAAAGACUUAAACCAAUGCCCUAGUGAGGGGGCAUUGGGCAUUAAGCCCUGACCUUUGCUAUGCUCAUACUUUGACUCUAUGAGUACUUUCCUAUAAGUCUUUGCUUGUGUUCACCUGCUAGCAAACUGGAGUGUUUCCCUCCCCAAGGGGGUGUCAGUCUUUGUCGACUGACUCUGUCAUCACCCUUAUGAUGUCCUGAAUGGAAGGAUCCCUUUGGGAAAUUCUCAGGAGGGGGACCUGGGCCAAGGGCUUGGCCAGCAUCCUGCUGGCAACUCCAAGGCCCUGGGUGGGCUUCUGGAAUGAGCAUGCUACUGAAUCACCAAAGGCACGCCCGACCUCUCUGAAGAUCUUCCUAUCCUUUUCUGGGGGAAUGGGGUCGAUGAGAGCAACCUCCUAGGGUUGUUGUGAGAAUUAAAUGAGAUAAAAGAGGCCUCAGGCAGGAUCUGGCAUAGAGGAGGUGAUCAGCAAAUGUUUGUUGAAAAGGUUUGACAGGUCAGUCCCUUCCCACCCCUCUUGCUUGUCUUACUUGUCUUAUUUAUUCUCCAACAGCACUCCAGGCAGCCCUUGUCCACGGGCUCUCCUUGCAUCAGCCAAGCUUCUUGAAAGGCCUGUCUACACUUGCUGUCUUCCUUCCUCACCUCCAAUUUCCUCUUCAACCCACUGCUUCCUGACUCGCUCUACUCCGUGGAAGCACGCUCACAAAGCUCCUUCACUCUCUAGCAGCUGCUGGGGCCCACCUCCCAUGCCGAGGACCAGCAGGGGAAACCUCCAGGGAGCAUCUGCAGGCUCUGCUUCUGCCCGGCUGCUGGCUUGCUCUCCCUGGUGGCUCUCCAGCGGCCAGCUUCCUCACCCACCCGGCACUCCGCUUUGCUCUGUCUCCUGAGGCACGUGGGCCGUGGCCCGGCUGGGUCGGCUGAAGAACUGCGGAUGGAAGCUGCGGAAGAGGCCCUGAUGGGGCCCACCAUCCCGGACCCAAGUCUUCUUCCUGGCGGGCCUCUCGUCUCCUUCCUGGUUUGGGCGGAAGCCAUCACCUGGAUGCCUACGUGGGAAGGGACCUCGAAUGUGGGACCCCAGCCCCUCUCCAGCUCGAAAUCCCUCCACAGCCACGGGGACACCCUGCACCUAUUCCCACGGGACAGGCUGGACCCAGAGACUCUGGACCCGGGGCCUCCCCUUGAGUAGAGACCCGCCCUCUGACUGAUGGACGCCGCUGACCUGGGGUCAGACCCGUGGGCUGGACCCCUGCCCACCCCGCAGGAACCCUGAGGCCUAGGGGAGCUGUUGAGCCUUCAGUGUCUGCAUGUGGGAAGUGGGCUCCUUCACCUACCUCACAGGGCUGUUGUGAGGGGCGCUGUGAUGCGGUUCCAAAGCACAGGGCUUGGCGCACCCCACUGUGCUCUCAAUAAAUGUGUUUCCUGUCUUAACAAAAACUG
Homo sapiens (human) is the source of this 1701-nucleotide long non-coding RNA. Ensembl annotates it as maternally expressed 3. Its record names the gene MEG3. NCBI's taxonomy places the organism in Eukaryota, Metazoa, Chordata, Mammalia, Primates, Hominidae. The record is from Ensembl.